This 435-nucleotide ribosomal RNA is filed under the name uncultured bacterium. Its description in RNAcentral is "partial 16S ribosomal RNA". It matches the Rfam family "Bacterial small subunit ribosomal RNA", at positions 29 to 507 of the family's 1533-position model. The record is from RNAcentral.
AGCGAACGCUGGCGGCAGGCUUAACACAUGCAAGUCGAACGGGCAUCUUCGGAUGUUAGUGGCAGACGGGUGAGUAACACGUGGUAACUUACCCGUCGGUUCGGAAUAACUCAGGGAAACUUGAGCUAAUACCGGAUACGCCCUUUUGGGGUAAGGUUUACUGCCGCAGGAUCGGCUCGCGUCUGAUUACCUUGUUGGUGGGCGAACGUCGUACCAAGGCGACGUUCAGUAGAUGGUCUGAGAGGAUGAUCCGACACACCGAGACUGAGACACGGCCCAGAAUCCUACGGGAGGCAGCAGUGCGGAAUAUAGGAACACGGGCGCAAGCAUGAUCCUGCCAUGCCGCGUGAGUGCUGAAAGCAUUAGAGUUCUAAAGCUCUUUUGUCCGGGACGAUAAUGACGGUACCGGAAGAAUAAGCCCCGGCUAACUUCGUG